Molecule: ribosomal RNA, 497 nt
Filed under: uncultured bacterium
Lineage: Bacteria
Description: partial 16S ribosomal RNA
Rfam family: Bacterial small subunit ribosomal RNA
Source: RNAcentral
GAUGAACGCUGGCGGCGUGCCUAAUACAUGCAAGUCGAGCGAACGGACGAGAAGCUUGCUUUUCUGAUGUUAGCGGCGGACGGGUGAGUAACACGUGGAUAACCUACCUAUAAGACUGGGAUAACUUCGGGAAACCGGAGCUAAUACCGGAUAAUAUUUUGAACCGCAUGGUUCAAAAGUGAAAUACGGUCUUGCUGUCACUUAUAGAUGGAUCCGCGCUGCAUUAGUUAGUUGGUAAGGUAACGGCUUACCAAGGCAACGAUGCAUAGCUGACCUGAGAGGGUAGUGGGCAACGCGGGAACUGAGACACGGUCCAGAGGCCUACGGGAAGCAGCAGAAGGGGAUCUUACGCGAUGGACGAGAGCCGGACGGAACACCACCGCGUGAGUGAUGAGGGUCUUCCGAUCGGAGAACUCUGUAAUUAGGGACAAACAUAUGUGUAAAGAACUGUGCACAACUUGACGGUACCUAAACAGAAAGCCACGGCUAACUACGUG